RNAcentral lists this non-coding RNA (253 nucleotides) under uncultured bacterium. RNAcentral describes it as "partial 16S ribosomal RNA". It matches the Rfam family "Bacterial small subunit ribosomal RNA", at positions 524 to 776 of the family's 1533-position model. The record is from RNAcentral. RNAcentral also lists the same sequence under 2 other names.
UACGAAGGGUGCAAGCGUUACUCGGAAUUACUGGGCGUAAAGCGUGCGUAGGCGGUUUGUUAAGUCUGUCGUGAAAGCCCCGGGCUCAACCUGGGAAUGGCGAUGGAAACUGGCGAGCUAGAGUACGGUAGAGGAGAGUGGAAUUCCCGGUGUAGCAGUGAAAUGCGUAGAGAUCGGGAGGAACAUCAGUUGCGAAGGCGGCUCUCUGGACCAGUACUGACGCUGAGGCACGAAAGCGUGGGGAGCAAACAGG